CCUUCUCUUGUUGAAGUAGCACACGGGUGACACUGUCAGCAAACCUACUCAGUUCUGAAUGCUCCAUGUCAGUGCGCGGACCUGCAGCGGAGUAGUAUUAGAAAAAAAAAUUAACUGGGGGUGGGGAGGGGGUAAAAUGACAAUGGACACCCUGUUGUCUUGCCUUUUCUUUUCUUUUUUUGUUUGCUAUACCUUGCAGCAACACUGGCUCAUGCAGCAUAUCUGUGUGAUGUGGUCCCUUUUCAUACGCAAUGCGUUGACCUGUAGCAUCAACCGCAACCUCAUCUGCAUCGUGCGGACCUGCACCAACAAUGCAUGAUUUACUUCACAUGUAUGUAAUUACAGUAUCCAGUGCCUGGCAAUUUUUAGCAUGACAUUGAUGGCAACUUUUAAGUUGAGAUGAACCGCAGCACAUCAUUUCUGACCAAUAAUCAAUCUCACGGAUGCAAGUGUUUUUUUUUUAAAACCUUGCGAAAGCGAUAUGACUUGAUGUAGCAGCGGUAGCAGCGGGUAUGAGGCAUGCAGUCCAUCAAAGGUUUCCGCCAAAACAUCAUCCGGGGUCAAUGUUGCGAUCCUUUCGUUUUUUUCCUUUUUCGCAGGCGCCCUCCUGUUUAGAUAAGGAAAUACAUCGUCAAACUAGUGCGCACUUUGUCAUUGCAAGGUCAAACCAUUGUAGCAGUUUUGCAUA
This 688-nucleotide long non-coding RNA is filed under the name Brachypodium distachyon (stiff brome). RNAcentral describes it as "long non-coding RNA (BDIS_LNC001186)". Lineage: Eukaryota; Viridiplantae; Streptophyta; Magnoliopsida; Poales; Poaceae. The record is from RNAcentral.